CGUCAAAUCAUCAUGCCCCUUAUGACUUGGGCUACACACGUGCUACAAUGGGGUCAACAAAGUGAAGCGAGACAGCGAUGUUAAGCAAACCACAAAAAGGACCUCUCAGUUCGGAUUGCAGCCUGCAACUCGGCUGCAUGAAGCCGGAAUCGCUAGUAAUCGCGAAUCAGCAUGUCGCGGUGAAUACGUUCUCGGGCCUU
RNAcentral lists this ribosomal RNA (200 nucleotides) under uncultured prokaryote. RNAcentral describes it as "partial 16S ribosomal RNA". It matches the Rfam family "Bacterial small subunit ribosomal RNA", at positions 1183 to 1382 of the family's 1533-position model. The record is from RNAcentral.